Molecule: long non-coding RNA, 428 nt
Organism: Frankliniella occidentalis (western flower thrips)
Lineage: Eukaryota; Metazoa; Arthropoda; Insecta; Thysanoptera; Thripidae
Exons: 2
Source: RefSeq, a predicted model, not a curated record
ACGGAGACCGCGGCUCGAGCAGGUCGCGCAGGCCGAGGGCGCUCCGCGGGCCUCGCGGGCCUCGCGGGCCUCGUGGGAGUAGUGGGCCGGGGACCGCGAGUCGGCAGUGCAGCUCUUGUGGGAUUCCUUCAACGACUGGUCCGUUGACUCAAUUGGCAAGCUCCCCCAAUUAAAACGCAAACUCUGUGUUUCCCCCUGUCGGCGUGGCCCUGUGAUCCUCCCCCUGUGUUGCAACGUCGCGGUGCCUCGUGCUCCAAAGUGUCCCCGCGAGGUCGGAAGACUUUAGCAGGUGUCGCCCGGCGUGGCGCCGCUGGCCGCGCCUUGUAGAGAGAGGCGGGGCCUCCCACCCUCCGCCCGCUGGACGGCCUCCACGAGCUCCACAGCCAUGUAUGUACUUGUUGCAAUAAAAUAUCUGCCCUGCCCAUAAA